Molecule: ribosomal RNA, 425 nt
Filed under: uncultured bacterium
Lineage: Bacteria
Description: partial 16S ribosomal RNA
Rfam family: Bacterial small subunit ribosomal RNA
Source: RNAcentral
GUGGGGAAUCUUGCGCAAUGGGCGAAAGCCUGACGCAGCCAUGCCGCGUGAAUGAUGAAGGUCUUAGGAUUGUAAAAUUCUUUCACCGGGGACGAUAAUGACGGUACCCGGAGAAGAAGCUCCGGCUAACUUCGUGCCAGCAGCCGCGGUAAUACGAAGGGGGCUAGCGUUGCUCGGAAUUACUGGGCGUAAAGGGCGCGUAGGCGGACAGCUUAGUCAGAGGUGAAAGCCCAGGGCUCAACCUUGGAAUUGCCUUUGAUACUGGCUGUCUUGAGUUUGGGAGAGGUGAGUGGAACUCCGAGUGUAGAGGUGAAAUUCGUAGAUAUUCGGAAGAACACCAGUGGCGAAGGCGACUCACUGGCUCGAUACUGACGCUGAGGUGCGAAAGCGUGGGGAGCAAACAGGAUUAGAAACCCUUGUAGUCC